AGGACUGGGUUCAGAUCCCUCUGUGGUCUCUAAACUGCUAAUGUGUAAUUUCUGUUUUAGGAUGAAGAGGAGGAUGUUUACAAGAGAGAUUUCAGCGCACCAACUUUGGAGGAUCAUUUCAACAAAACCAUCUUACCCAAAGUCAUGCAGGUUAAAAACUUUGGUCGCUCUGGACGUACCAAAUACACUCACUUGGUGGACCAGGACACAACGUCCUUUGACUCUGCUUGGGCCCAGGAGAGUGCUCAGAACACCAAGUUCUUCACACAGAAGGCAGCAGGAGUGAGGGAUGUUUUUGACCGACCCACAGUGAAGAAGAGGAAAACAUGAAGUAAACAAAAAAAUGACUGUUUAACAACUCCCAACA
Thalassophryne amazonica is the source of this 367-nucleotide long non-coding RNA. RefSeq lists it as uncharacterized. The record is from RefSeq and is a predicted model, not a curated record. NCBI's taxonomy places the organism in Eukaryota, Metazoa, Chordata, Actinopteri, Batrachoidiformes, Batrachoididae. The transcript is spliced from 2 exons.